AUAUAUAUAUAAAUAGAUAGCAUAAAUAGAUAGAUAAAUAGAUAGGGAUUGAUAACUGGACAGUUACCAAUCCCAAAACUCAAAAGCGAUUAAGCCUAUGACCUGAGUUUUGGGAAGAGCAAGGCUACCUGUAAGCAGUCAUAGAAGGAGUGUCUGGGAAACCUGCUUGGAAACGAUUUAGUGGCACGGUACAGCAGUUGUAGGUGCAGACCAAGUCUUGAUGGCCUGCUCAGGACUGACAAAAACAUGUGUUAACAUCUUUAUUAACGAAUAACCAAAUCAAACCCCUUCUCUGACGCAGUCUGACGUGGUAACAUUUAACGAUAUCGAAAGUUAAGAUUUUAUUGUUGGUACCUUCAAAGUACUGAUAAUGAUUUAAAACCGUUUAGGACACUCCCGUCGCUAGUUCACGUCCAGUUUGAUCGUAGAUGCAACGUAGCACGAACGCAGAUUGAACCAAUGGGUAACAUGUACAGCGAGAACAAUAAUGGCGCCAAAAUUGAACCUUGAGGAACACCACAUGAAGAACAUGCUACAGAAGAGGAGUAUUGCCCAAUACUGUCUGAAAAUCUUCUGUUGGACAAAAAGGACCGAAACCAGACAAAUUGUUAAGGGUGCUCUUUCUUCAUUUAAAAGCAGACAAUGACCAGUCUCCGUCAAACUCUAUAACCCUGUGAAAUCA
Long non-coding RNA from Cyprinus carpio carpio, 682 nucleotides. The record is from Ensembl. Lineage: Eukaryota; Metazoa; Chordata; Actinopteri; Cypriniformes; Cyprinidae.